UGGGGUAUAGCUCAGUUGGUAGAGUGCUUGCCUUGCAAGCACAAGGCCCUGGGUUCAAUUCCCAGCACCGCAA
Sciurus carolinensis (gray squirrel) is the source of this 73-nucleotide non-coding RNA. Lineage: Eukaryota; Metazoa; Chordata; Mammalia; Rodentia; Sciuridae. The record is from the annotation of a RefSeq genome assembly.